UUCUUUUCUUUGUCAACUACCUCAGUAGCCACAGGCCCCGUGGGGCCCCAGAAGUCAUCGUCAGUCCCCAAAGGCUUCGUAUGCAGGUCCCCCUGAGAGGCAGGAGAAGGCACGCACAAGAGUUCCACCGGUACUACCUCUGGGGAGCUUUCCUCUGAAACAGCAAGGCAGCGGUCAGCUCCAGAUUCUCCCACCUGGCCUCCCCUAGCCCCUAUCGCUGCACUGUAAGGGGCCCUUCCCAAGGCUGGCCUGCCUGGACCAUGGCAGGGAGUGUGUCUGCAGCUUCUGCUCCUGCUCCAUGGCUGCCUGCCUGCUGUCUGGGGAGCCCCACUCCAAUGCCUCCAGCCCAGCCUCCGCCCACCUCCCCUUCCCCACUGGAAUAGAAGUGCCACUCUCCCCAGCAUGCCCAGGUGGGCAGGCUGAGAGAGAACAUGGUUCAAAAGAUGAAAGGGGCCAGGCACCGUGGCUCUUGCCUGCAAUCUCAGCAAUUGGGAAGAUCUUGCUCACGUCCAGGAGUUUGAGAUUAGCCUGAGCAACAUGGGAAGCCGCCCUCUCUACAGAAAAAAGAAUAAUAUCCGCCAGGCAUGGUGAUGGCAGGGCAAAGAUGGAGAUGUGAAUUCCCAGGCCUUAGCAGCCAAGAAUGGAAGAGGCCGGACCCCGGUUCAGGGUUUGAUACAUGCCAUAGACAUUCUGGAGAGGGGAAGCACCAGCCGGUGGGUCUCGGAGAGAGGGAAACGGAAAUCCAGCCAGUUCCUAGGAGUGGGAGCCCUCUCGUGGGGGUAGCACCCUCUUGGGUGAGCCACAGCAGCCAGGAACCUGGGGACAGAUGAGCUUCAUGGUCAGGUGGAAAUGCACCCAACUGGGAGAAUGCGGGAGCUGCAGCAGAUUCCUCGGGGAAGGGAAGAUGGACUUUCCUGGCCCCGGGGCUUGCCCCUCAAGUCAGGGCCCUGGGCCUGGGUCAGCCAGAGGGAGUUCUGGGUCCCCCCUUACCGUCUGCUGAAGAUGAGCAGCUGAGGCUUCUCCUGCUCCAGGGCCCUCAGCUCCUGCCUCAUCUCAUCACUCAGAGUCGUCUGGUCCAGCCUGAAAGCACAAAGGGAGCCGGGUCCUCCUGGGAUCCCCCAUGUGGUCCCCAGGUCCCCAGGGCCCAGAAUCCCGGGACCUGUCACCUUCUGAGGCAGCGGCCGCAGGGUGGGUUCCCUGGAAGCCAGGCUCUGAGGAGGAGGGUACAGUGAGGAGAUUCAUUAGGGAUGAAUCAAUCCUGCCCUGCCUGUUCUGAGGCCCAGACAAGGAGGAGGUGAAAAGACCCUGUCUUCUGCUAAGGGCUCUGCAUUCAUUCCCCUACUGGUGUUAGAGCUGUUCUGCCCCUGGCGAGGAGUGCAGACCUUGAAGUAGAAGGUUAUUCUUCUCAACUAAGUCCUGGCUCCAGGAGGGAAGGAGGCGGAAACCUACUCGGGACGCUAGAGACCAAACCCCCUCGGAAGCAGCCCAGUUUUGACAGGUUUGGGAGGCCUGGCUGAGGAAAGCCCGAGGCCCAGGCUUCGCAGACCCCCUCUGAGAAGGCUCUGGAUGUGGGGGUUUGGAGCCCCUGUCUGCUCCCUGAGAUGUGGCAGGGCCCCUGGCAGGAGCCGUGGCAAACACUGGAGACAAUCUGGCUGCUCAUAACAGGCGAUGGAUAAAAACAUGAUGGUGAAGUCUGAUGGGACCAUGGAGCCUCAGCUCAUAGGUGAUGCCAUCUCCUGCCACCUCCCUCCCUUCCUCUAGGGGAAAUAGUUCUUGGUCAUCCUGCAUUUGAGUGUUGUGGGGCCCCCACUCAACCUCAGCCCAGUGAUUAUUGCCACCCUUUAUCUCUGGUGGGGGCCUGGAUCAGGCACGGUGAGCCAGAAUUAAUCAGGCCCCGGCUUACCUGUUACAGAGGAGACACACCUGUGUUCCUUUGGCACAGACAUUCUGGAGUCCCAGUGCCCAGAAAACAAGACGGGAGGCAGGAGCAGAGCCUGGGAGAGAUGGCCUGAGGAUGAUGUGAUGGAAGACUGUAUAUGAUCAUAUGCACUGCUGUCCAGAAAUAUUCCUUCCUGCUGGACUCAGAGAACCCCAGGACCUCUACCCAACGUGCCUGCUCCAAAGAAGGAAUGAGGUUCUGCAGAGCUGUGGUCCGAGC
Molecule: long non-coding RNA, 2158 nt
Organism: Gorilla gorilla gorilla (western lowland gorilla)
Lineage: Eukaryota; Metazoa; Chordata; Mammalia; Primates; Hominidae
Exons: 11
Source: RefSeq, a predicted model, not a curated record